Molecule: long non-coding RNA, 10715 nt
Filed under: Capsicum annuum
Lineage: Eukaryota; Viridiplantae; Streptophyta; Magnoliopsida; Solanales; Solanaceae
Description: long non-coding RNA (CANN_LNC003318)
Source: RNAcentral
GUUGGAAAGCUUAUUCAAUAACCUUCGUAUGGAACCAUCGACGGGAAAAUUCCGAUAUAAAUAAAGUCGAUUCCUAUACACCUAUAAUCAAACUAUACACUUGAAACCAUCUCAAAAUAAUCAAUACUCAUACUUAAACUCAUAUAUACCUAACUUAGGAUCAAUACAUAUACCCCAACACAUAUAACAAUGACUAAUGCACGUAAUUAAGUACGGGGUGUUACAUCCUUCCCCCCUUAAGGACAUUCGUCCUCGAAUGUGAAUGUAGUUAUUUAGCCGAAACAAGUUCAAGUCCACCAUUAACAUUCACAUCAUCACAUAAAUACUAUGCAUAUAUAAACAAAAACUUACUUGUUAAUGUUCUAACUCCGUUUCUUGAACUUCCUCUUCAUCUUUGAACAAAUGAGGGUACUUAGAUUUCAUUGCUUCCUCAGCUUCCCAUGUAAUCUCUUCCCUUUGUUGAUUUCUCCAAAGUACCUUUACUGAUGCCAUUUCUUUGUUCCUUAACUUUUUAACUUGGCGAUCUAGAAUAGCAACCGGUACCUCUUCAUAAGUAAGAUCCUCUGUGACCUGUACAUCUUCUAUAGGAGUGAUACGAGAGGGGUCACCUAUGCAUUUUCGAAGCAUUGACACAUGAAACACUGGAUGAACCAUUGAAAGUUCCUGGGGUAGCUCUAAUUCAUAUGCAACUUGUCCGACCCUCUUGGUAAUCUUAUAUGGCCCUAUGUAACGUGGGCUUAGUUUCCCUUUUUUACCAAAUCUCAUAACCCCUUUCAUUGGUGAUACCUUUAAAAAUACCCAAUCUCCAAUAGAGAAUUCCAGCCCUCUUCUCCGAAUAUCUGCAUAUGAUUUAUGACGACUUUGGGCUGUUUUUAGCCGUUGUUGUAUCACCUUGACUUUUUCUAUGGCUUGAUACACAAGAUCCGGUCCGAACAUAAGAGUUUCACCCGCUUCGAACCAUCCUAUUGGUGAUCUACACUUUCUCCCAUAUAAAGCUUCAUAUGGUGCCAUUUUGAUACUUGAAUGAUAGCUAUUAUUGUAGGCAAACUCAAUAAGAGGUAAAUGAUCAUCCCAGCUGCCUUUAAAAUCUAUAACACAUGCUCGUAGCAUAUCUUCAAGUGUUUGAAUGGUGCGCUCUGCUUGUCCAUCCGUCUGAGGGUGAAAAGCUGUACUCAGAUUCACUUGUGUUCCCAAACCCCGUUGGAAAGACUUCCAAAAGUUUGCAGUAAAUUGAGUUCCCCGAUCCGAUAUAAUAGAAGUUGGCACUCCAUGUAAUCGGACUAUUUCUUUAACAUACAGCUUCGAAUAUUCUUCAACUGUGUAAGUGGUCUUAACGGGUAAGAAAUGUGCGGAUUUAGUAAGCCUAUCCACAAUCACCCAUAUAGAAUCAAAUUUUCGAGCUGUACGAGGCAAACCUGUAACAAAAUCCAUGUUGAUCAUGUCCCACUUCCAAAUUGGAAGAUCUAUGCAUUGCAUAUAGCCUCCGGGUUUUUGGUGCUCAACUUUAACUCUUUGACAAUUUGGACAUUCAGCUACAAAUUCUGCAAUGCUCUUCUUCAUGUCAUUCCACCAAUACAUAUCUUUCAAAUCUUGAUACAUUUUGGUUGAUCCUGGAUGAAUGGAAUACCUUGAAAAAUGUGCCUCUGUCAUAAUCUUCUUUCUUAGCCCGUCUAUAUCCGGCACACACAAUCGGUUUUGGCACUGAAGUACUCCUUCUCGCGUAAGCUCAAAUGCCUUGGUCGCACCACUCUGAACGUUCUCCUUAAGAUGUAAUAAAAUAGGAUCUGCAUAUUGCUUCUCUUUCACUUCAGCUACUAAUGAAGAUUCCGCAGCAUUAUGUACGAUAAGCUCUUUAUUCGGAGUUUCAAGAAGGCGAACUCCCAAACUAGCUAACUGGUGAAGAUCUUUAACCAUCCCUUGCCUUUCUAUAGGCGCCAUCAUAGCCUUACGACUUAACGCAUCAGCUACCACAUUUGCUUUCCCUGGAUGGUACAAGAUAUCAACAUCAUAGUCCUUUAAUAGUUCAAGCCAUCUCCGCUGCCUUAAAUUUAGAUCCUUCUGAUUAAAAAUAUAUUGCAAGCUCUUAUGGUCAGUAUAUAUAUCAACGUGAACCCCAUAUAAGUAGUGGCGCCAUAUCUUUAAAGCAAAAAUAACCGCUGCCAGCUCAAGAUCGUGUGUAGGAUAAUUUUUCUCAUGUGGCCGUAAUUGUCUAGAAGCAUAUGCUAUUACCUUACCAUGCUGCAUCAAUACACAUCCUAAACCAAUUCUGGAAGCAUCACAAUACACUGUAUACCCUUCGGUGCCUUCUGGUAGUACCAACACGGGUGUAGAAAUCAACUUGUUCUUUAAAUCUUGAAAACUCUUCUCACAGGCAUCAUUCCAUUGGAAUUUGGAUGCUUUAUGGGUUAGCUUGGUUAAGGGUGCUGAAAUGGAAGAAAAGUCUUUGACAAACCUUCUAUAAUAACCGGCCAACCCAAGAAAACUACGAAUCUCCGUAGGCGUUGUGGGCCUUGGCCAGUUCUUCACAGCCUCUAUCUUUUGAGCAUCAACCUUUAUCCCUUCACUAGAUACAAUAUGACCCAAAAAUGCCACCGACUUUAACCAAAACUCACAUUUAGAGAACUUUGCAUAAAGCUUACAAUCACGAAGAGUCUGCAAUGCCUGUCGUAAGUGAUUGGCAUGGUCCUCUUCUGAUCUAGAAUAAACUAGAAUAUCAUCUAUAAAAACUAUCACAAAUACAUCCAGGAAUGGCUUAAAAACCCUAUUCAUCAAAUCCAUAAAAGCUGCGGGUGCAUUUGUUAGCCCAAAUGACAUAACUAGAAACUCAUAAUGACCAUACCUUGUUCGGAAAGCUGUUUUGGGUAUAUCUUUUUCGAAAGAAACCCAUGAAUGAACAUCCACAUACCUUAAUAGAUGAUUUCUUGAAGAUUUCUUGAGGGUUUCUUGAAUUUGAAGCUUGAGUUCCUUGGUUUUUUAGGGAGAAAAAAAUUGAAAUUGGUGAUUUUGAGAAAGUGGGAAGGGUUUUCUUGAGAUGGAUUUAGAGAAGAAGGGCAAAUAAUGCUCUAAAUGAUGUCUCAAUUCGUGUUAUGCAUGAUUUGGGUUGAGGGGAACAGACACAAUUUCCCCUCAGGCAAUUAAAUUCAUAACUGGGCAUAACAUACUUACCGCAACGCGGUCUAAUUGAAGUCAUCCAUUUCCCUUACCGCAACGCAGUGAGCAUGCAAAUGGAAAUAUUAAAGCGACGCAGCCGUAUCGCAGUGACUUUCUGGAUUUGUGAUCCAAACAUGACCGAAACCUCAUUCAAAAAAUUUGAAACUUCUCUAAGACAUGCUCCUUACAUCCCUGAAUAUGAAUUAACUCAAAAACCAACACCUUAGGAUCGGGAAGACCAAUCGAAAAAUCCUCGAAGUUAAGAGGACUUAUAAAUGACUAAUUCCCCAACACUUAGUGAAAUUUUUAGGCCUUAAGCCCCUUAUGCAUACAACUAGAAGAUGAACUGACCUAAUAAUAAUAUGGGGUAUUAUAGAAGUGCUGAAAGAAAGACUUAAUCAAAUAAUAAUUAAGCUAAGAAAAAUAGAGAACUUAAUCAAAUGGACGAGAAACCAGAUUGAAUCCAUAAUAUGAUAACUUAAUGAUAAAUCAAGUGAAGAAGAUAACACAAACAAUUUAGAAAGACACCCUAAUCACUCAAUCUAAGCUAACAAUUGAAAUUGAACCCAAUUACUGCCCUAAUAUCGAAUAACUAAAUAUCAAUUCUAUUCAAGACAAUUCACUUUUCCAAAUCUAAGUGAUGAAAAUGGAUAAAGAAACUAUUUAUAGUCAGUGCCUUUACAGAAAAAGUCUAUUACAAAAAUCUCCCUAAUGUGACCAUUUUACAAAUAACUCACAAGGGACCUUCUUAAUUGGCCAAAUGGCAUCUUGAUUGCCAAUGACCUUAUGUAUCUAUUUCUUCAUGCCUUCCUUCAAACUCCAAGAUAUCAUCCAUACAUGGAAGACCCUCCUAAUAUGUUCCAAGCUAAUCAUGAUCCACUUCAUCAAAAGAAUUCAUCCACGAAUCCAAACUUUUUUAAAAAAUGAGAAGGAAAAACAACAAACAUAUCAUCGUAGCAUGAGGUUUAACACAAGGAUUAUCAAUAACAAAUUUAUGGCCAUGCCAAGGGUGUACACAUUUAACAUAUAACCAAGCAAAAAAAUGAGUCAUAAAUGGUUUGUCACCCAACAAAAAUUGAUAUACUUGGCUACAUAGGAAACAUUGACAAAGGGGCAAAUCAAAAGAACCAUGGUGUUUAGGCAACCACUGAUACAAGUCCUCAAUGGUUCUAAAUUUAGAAAAAAAAAUCUCCCUUUAAGUCAUGUAACACAUGAUAACCCAUAUAACUAUGUUUCAUGUCAUAAAUGAGGUCAUUCCAAGUCAAUACUCUAUCCAAUGCACUAACUAUCUUAAAGAAUAGAAUUACUCCUAAUUCAUCAUUGGAGAUUAAAUACGAAGGUAUUCUCUACAUAAUUUGGCAAAUAUAUCUUAUUAAACAUAUAAGAUCAAGUAAUAACACCAAGCAAUAAUCAUAUGAGAGAAAAAAUAUGUUACUACUAUACUUACCACCACGCAAGCCAACAACCUCACCCACAACUUUCUUGUCAUUUGAACCAAGUAUUUUAUCACAAACGCCACUAUUCAAAUCAUUACCAGGACAAAAGGAAAAGGCAAUCCAUAAACAUGGGUAAAAUCAUACACCUAUUUGCCCCAUUGACACUCUACUCUCACAUAACAUACUCCACUCAAAGGAAAGAGUAUCAUCAUAUGCAAAAAAAGUGGUAUAGAAAGGUGUUACUUAAAUAAAGUUUAUUUAAGGUGUGCCCACAUAUAGAAUCACCCUUUGAUCUACAAGCAUUAAGCCCUUGAUCAAGCAUGGGUUCACACAAGAAUGAAUAGGUCAUUGGAGAACAUACACCCCCUUCUUUUGGACCACUAACCCCUCCAAUUGACAAACUAUCAUCUUUUAAGAAGAGAGUUUUGUCUUUAAAAAAUGUGUCAUCAUACCAUAGUGGAUUUUUGAUCACUUGUGUCACGCCCCAAAAUCCCAUCGGGCCGGACUGGCACCCGAAGCCGAGAAGGCCCGGGAGAACCCGUUCAAAUACCUGUACUUUCACUUACAUGUCACCAAAAAAAUUGGACAGCACUUCGUUGCAUAUAGAAAGGUCUAAUUACCUGUAUCAGCACAACACGCACAAAUAUAUAUAUAUAAUACUUGGCCGUCGGGGCCACCACAUAUACAAAUAUAACGUUACUAUAUAAACUUCCAUGACUUUACCCUUCCUUAUGUCUACAAAGCCUCUAGGAUAUACAUGACAUAACUAGGGUCGGGACAAACCCCCGCCCACACGUGACUCAUGUACAAUAACAAAACAUAAGGAACCGACUCGGAAAGCUCCGAAGCAAACUGGAGCUCACCAACAAUAGCUGUAUGACCUGGCUCCUACUUGUGCGGUGUAUGAGUUGAGGUACCUGUGCCUGCAGCAUGAAAUGCAGGUCCCCCGUGAGGGACGUCAGUACGAAAUAUGUACUGAGUAUGUAAAGCUGUAAAUAAUCACAUAUGAUAUAGGAGCUCAAUAGAAAUCAGAAACAAGUGAAUAAGUCGUAAUAGGAGUGGACCACACUUACUAGAACUUGUGACAACCUGUACAUUGUAUUUAUUCAAUCACUUUACCUUCGUUCUUAUCGUCUUUGUAAUCAUUACUGUACUGUACUGUGACCAUUAGGAUGCCUCCAGUACAUAUCAACUGGGAUCGACCCAUGCUAGGCUUAUGCCCCUGGGAUACCACCCAUAAACACAUGAAAUAGGGAUCGACCCAUGCUAGGCUUAUGCCCCUGGGAUACCACCCGAUAAGAGAGAACUUUCAUCACUUAGUUCAAUUAAUCUUUGAGAUUGUUAUUUCGGUCGUCACCACAUUUUUGAUACCUUGAAACAAUGAUACAUCAAUAGGAACCAAGUAAUAGACCUUCUAUACAAUAACGAUGUAAUAAGGACUCAUUGGUACAUCAACAAUAUGUUUCAGAAUCAUCAAUAUCACAACAAUGAAAUAAGAGCCUUUUGGUAUAUCAAUGAACAUUUUGACACUUUAUAGGAUGGAAACAACUUCGUUGGUAACGUAGAACAAUACAUGUUUUUGGACAACCUCGGAAUCUUACUUGAUGGAACAUUGGUGUUUUCAUGCCAAAGAACAUUGUUAGAGUAUGCUUUACAUACCUCGUUGUAGAUUCAGAUACCAAUUCAACACAACUUCCCGCCUUUACAAAUCACUUAUCUACAAUGAAAUGUUUGGCAUCUAGUAUUAGCAACCCAACACCACAAUUCUCUUCCAUAAUUCCAUACUACCAAUAUUUGCAAAACAUUCCAAAAACCAACUUGAACAAUAGGUUUAUGUGUGUAUAUGUAUAUAAUCAUCAUCUCAAUACCACAUCAUCAAUACCACAUCAUCACCCCAAAUUCCUUCACAAUUUAACAUAAUCCAACCAUGCACAAGAAUAAUCCAACAUCAUUUCCAAUCAUCUUUCAACAACAAUCAAAUAACAUACUUCUUAUGCUCACAUGCAUAUAUAUAUAUAUAUACAUAUCCAUAUAAAUAACACCAACAUAAUUUACAUCCUUACCAAAAAAAAUGGCCCUUUUGAUUUCGAAGUCCUGUUGGCACAAAUAAGGGGUGCUUCUCGAAGCCCUUGAGACGGUGAACACAACUACGGAAUCAAUUUGGAUUUUCUACGGUUGAAUCACAAGAUAAUUGGAGUUGAACUUAGGCUAGGGUUUCUUAUUCUUCAAUGAUUUGGAUGAUAAAUGGUGGAUAUAAGGCUAAGUAUAUGUAUAUAAUGACCAAUUUUCGUCCAUGAGGUGAUGGAAAAUGACCAUAUUGCCCUUAAAAAUUUAAGUAAAUCCGAAUCUGUCCAUGGUGGACUGUUUUGAUAGGCUAAAGUAAAUCGGCCAUAACUCUUUGCUCCGAUAUCGGAUUUGGGUGAAAUUGGUAUCGUUAGAAAGAUAAUUCAAAGGUCUUUCAUUUAAUAUAAAUUAAUCCACCCAGUUCGUCCUGUACAAGUAGUUAUGAUCGUUUGAAGUUGACCCUAAAAAUCUGUUUUGAGAGGCUGAAGUAAAACGAGUAUAACUCCUUACUCAGAUGUUGGAUUUGGAUGAAACCAAUUUCAUUGGAAAGAAGACUCAAAGAUCUUUCUUUUGAUAUAUGGUAGCUCAACCAGUUCAUUAUAUUGAGGGAGUUAUGAUCGUUCAAAGUUGACCCAAAAAACUGGCAGGCCUCAGUAGUUUCCUGCACAUUUUACUGUUCACAUCCCGGCCACCGUUUUAAAGUUUCGAACGAGCUCGCUUAUAUCCGAAACUUAUCCGUUUUUGGAAAUCUUUAUAUCGUUGGAAAGCUUAUUCAAUAACCUUCGUAUGGAACCAUCGACGGGCAAAUUCCGGUAUAAAUAAAGUCGAUUCCUAUACACCUAUAAUCAAACUAUACACUUGAAACCAUCUCAAAAUAAUCAAUACUCAUACUUAAACUCAUAUAUACCUAACUUAGGAUCAAUACAUAUACCCCAACACAUAUAACAAUGACUAAUGCAUGUAAUUAAGUACGGGGUGUUACACUGCCAGAAGAAACAAAUGGACUACAAGAGAGAUGGAAAAAGCUGCAGUACAGGAAAAAUGUGGAAUCAUCAGUAUCUCUGAAGGGGUCAGCUUUUCACAAAAUAAGCUUCUUUUGAGAAGCGUCGUCGGUAGCCUCCCUGGAGGAAUAGUAGAUACCCCGACCCUAUCAGAUAUUAGGCGCUGGAAACACAUACACGGAGUGAACAUUUAUGAGAUGGGGCAGAAUCGAUUUCUCUUCGAGUUCCCAUAAAAAACAACUGUUGAAUACAUCUUGAGAGGCAACUGGAGUUGGAAACUCCACAGACUCCGACUAUAAUGGUGGUCGUCAACAUUGGAAUCAAUCCCUUGCUCUGCAGCAAUCGAACAAGUCUAGAUCAUAUUGGUCGAACUCCCCCUGCAUUUAUGGUCGCAAAAUGUAUUCAAAGAAAUAGGAGAUUACUGCGAAGAAAAGCCAACUGAGGAAUCACCUCAAAUGGGCAAGAAUUAUGGUGAGAGGAAACGGAGACACAAUUCUGAAGACUAUCAACAUUGAACAUGAAUAGAUCAAUUUCUUGAUCCAAAUCUGGUGUGAAUUAUAGCCUAGAUUCUCUCUUUGUGAAGGAAUCAUGCAAAGAACUUCGGAUCAUCGGUUAAUAAUGGGUUCUAGCUCUAUAGGGGUGGGGCUUGAGAGGAUAGCUUCCUGACAGGGCACGUGCGUAAUUUUCAAAUAAACCCUAAUAGUCAAACACGUGACUGGCCACAUGUGAAUGCCUCCUCAACUAAAAGGCCACCAGCUUCUAAACUUUUGGGCCCAGAUUUCCUAGCCCAACAACUUAUGGUGGAAAAUACAUAUGCAACCCACUUUUUAAAGCCCAGAUCUGAUCUAUUUUUAGAAGAAGUAAACGUCAUCUCUCAAUAUACUGCCUCUCAGAAUAUUACAUAACAGGGAGAAGCUCACUCUACUGCUCCAUCCAUAGCGAAGGGAAAUUCAUCUCCAGUAACACAAAAAGGCAACGAAUAAGGUACUGAAUUCAAGUACGACAAAGAAGAGACCUUUGAAACAAAUUCUACUCUUUCUGAACCACUAGCCCCGGAUAACAUGCAACUCUCUAUUGUUAGAGAAACACCUAUUGAAGAUGUUGUCCCCAUUAUCAUCCAUACCGAAGAACAUGAGCAGGAUCCAGAUUUCGACAUUCCAAUUUGGAUACACCAAAACAUUAUCAAAAUCGGCAAGCAAUUUGAAAUUGAUUUUCAGGGAUUUGAGGAGGAGGCUCAGCAAUUACUCAUAAAGAUUGAUCAAAAGAAGCAAUCAAAUAUGGGAAAGACCAACAAGAUGCUGGAGCUCACAUCAAAGGUGAAAGGUGCUAAGGAACUGAAACGUCUUGAUUUUGGCCAUAAUUUCAAAAGCUAUGGCACCAGGAGUAGGGGGAUAUCACAUAUUGAUCAAUGAAAGUUAACUUAAUUUCAUGGAAUGUUAGAGGAUUGAAUGAUGAAAGAAAAAGGAGAAUGAUCAAGAGUUGCAUUAACACUUGGAAGGCAGAUGUAUAUUGUUUCCAAGAAACCAAAGUUGAAGGAGAUAUCAGUGAUUUCGUUAGAGACCUUUGGGCCAACAGAUGGGUCGAUCACAUCCAAUUAGAGGCUAGUGGUACCAGAGGAGGAAUUCUUCUAAUGUGGGAUAAAAGAAUUUGGGAUGGAGAGCGCAGUAGUCUGGCCAAUCAAGGUUGUCACUCCAUCGCAUGUAAAUUCACAGGCAAGAUGCAGGAUCUCACUUGUUACUUAAUAAGAGUAUAUGCACCCAAUGAUAGAAAAACUAGAGAGGAAGUCUGGGAGGAAAUUGGAGCUGCCAGAGGUCUAUUUUUAGGUCCAUGGGUAUUAUGUGGAGAUUUCAAAGCAGUUAGAUUCCCCUCAGAAAAGAAAAAUUGCAAUAGAAUCAACAAAUCAAUGACUGAUUUUUAUGAUUUCAUUCAAGAUAUGGGCUUGCUAGAUUUGCAACUAACAAGUGGGAAAUUUUACUUAGAAAAAAGGUAGCAGACACGAUGUUGCUGCAAGUUUGGAUAGAUUUUUUAUCUCUGAUGAGUGGGAUGAAAGAUUCAGGAAUAUCAAACAAUUAAUUCUUGAUAGAGUGACCUCUGACCAAUCACCUGUAUUACUACAGUACAGCAACUGAGAACCAUCCAAAUCAUAUUUCAAAUUCGAAAAUUGGUGGUUGCAAAUGGAAGGGUUCAAAGAAAUAGUUAAGGAUUGGUGGAACUCUUUCAAUUGUGUUGGCAGACCUGACUUCAUUUUGGCUUAUAAGUUGAAAGAUUUGAACGCCAAACUUAGAAACUGGAGCAAAACAUUACAAGGAAACUUGGAGAUGCAGAAGCUUGACACGCUAAGUCAAUUAUCAAAACUUGAAGAAAUCCAAGAUCUCAGGAAUUUAACAGAGGAGGAAAUAAGAAAUAAAAUAGCCUUAACUAUGGACUUUGAGGAGAUAGAAAAAAAGGAGGAGAUGGCUUGGAGACAGAGAUCAAGAGAAUUAUGGUUGAAACAAGGUGACAACAGCAUAAGUUCUUUCAUAAAACAGCUAAUGCACACAGAAGAUUCAACAAUAUCAACUUGUUAGAAAUUGAUGGUGAGCCCGUAAGGAACCCAGCUGAUAUAAAAAAGAAGAUCACCUCUUUUUAUCUGAACCUUUAUUCAGAGACAGAAAACUGGAGACCCCACUUUAACAUGAGAAUUUGUCCCACUGUCUCUUCAGAAGAUAAUUUGAUGCUACAAAGAUCGUUUGAAGCACAAAAAAUUUGGGCCAGUGUCCAAACGUGUGCCGCGGACAAAGCACCUGGCCCAGAUGGUUUCUCAAUGGCCUUUUUUAAACACUGUUGGGAAGUAGUGAACACUGAAGUCAUUGCCAUUAUUCAAAACUUCCAUGAAAGAGGCAUGUUUGAAAGAAGCCUCAAUGCUACAUAUGUAGCCUUAAUUCCCAAGAAAGUGAGAGCCAAAGAAUUGAAAGAUUUCAGGCCUAUUAGUCUUAUAGGCAGUAUUUACAAGAUCAUCUUAAAGUUGUUGACUGAGAGACUCAAAAAAGUGAUGCACAAGUUGGUGGAUGAUAAACAAAUGGCC